GUUGGCAUUUCAAAUAAAUGGCU
RNAcentral lists this non-coding RNA (23 nucleotides) under Cricetulus griseus (Chinese hamster). The record is from RNAcentral. Lineage: Eukaryota; Metazoa; Chordata; Mammalia; Rodentia; Cricetidae.